Mandrillus leucophaeus (drill) is the source of this 883-nucleotide RNA transcript. It is a transcript of the gene named elongation factor 1-alpha pseudogene, with no coding region annotated. The transcript is spliced from 2 exons. The record is from RefSeq and is a predicted model, not a curated record. NCBI's taxonomy places the organism in Eukaryota, Metazoa, Chordata, Mammalia, Primates, Cercopithecidae.
AUGCACAGUUUCUCGUUCUGGGAAACUGUUAAACACACUGGAAUUAUUUCGUAUCACAGAAACAAACACACACAAACAUUUUAUGAACUCUUAACCAGCAGGUAUGCCUGGGUCUUGGAUAAACUGAAAGCUGAGUGUGAGUAUGGUAUCACCGCUGAUGUCUCCCUGUGCAAAUUUGAGACCAGCAAGUAUUACGUGACUGUCAUUGAUGCCCUAGGACAUGAAGACUUCAUCAAAAACAUGAUUACAGGGACAUCUCAGGCUGACUGUGCUGUCCUGAUUGUUGCUGCUGGUGUUGGUCAAGGCAACGUUGCUGGUGACCGCAAAAACGACCCAACAAUGGAAGCAGCUGACUUCACUGCUCAGGUGAUUAUCCUGAACCAUCCAGGCCAAAUCAGUGCUGGCUAUGCUCCUGUACUGGAUUGCCACAUGGCUCAAAUUGCAUGCAAGUUUGCUGAGCUGAAGGAAAAGAUUGAUAGCACUUCUGGUAAAAAGCUGGAAGAUGGCCCUACUUUCUUGAAGUCUUGUGAUGCUGCCAUCGUUGAUAUGAUUCCUGGCAAGCCCAUGUGUAUUGAGAGCUUCUCAGUCUACCCACCUCUGGGUCGCUUUGCUGUUUGUGAUAUGAGACAGACAGUUGCUGUGGGUAUCAUCAAAGCAAUGGAGCUGGCAAGGUCACCACGUCUGCCCAGAAAGCUCAGAAGGCUAAAUGAAUAUUGUCCCUAAUACCUGUCACUCUAGUCUUAAUCAGUGGUGGAAGAACAGUCUCAGAACUGUUUGUUUCAAUUGGCCAUUUAAGUUUAAUAGUAAAUGACUGGUUAAUGAUAACAAUGCAUCAUAAAACCUUCAGAAGGAAAGGAGAAUGUUUUGUGGACCACUUUGGUUU